Eriocheir sinensis (Chinese mitten crab) is the source of this 8021-nucleotide RNA transcript. It is a transcript of the gene named probable protein phosphatase 2C T23F11.1, with no coding region annotated. The record is from RefSeq and is a predicted model, not a curated record. NCBI's taxonomy places the organism in Eukaryota, Metazoa, Arthropoda, Malacostraca, Decapoda, Varunidae. The transcript has 9 exons.
AAAAUAUUUCAUUACAACAAUAAAUUCAGUUGGACUCGAACGUGACGGUGUUUACAUGUUGCCCUGGUGACCUCGCCCGACCUGACCCCGGAGAGGAGGACACGGCAGGAAUCAUCAGAAUGGGACAGACAUUGAGUGAACCUGUAACUCAGAAGGAGACGUCACGAUGCGAGAAUUCUUGGUUGCGAGUGGGAGCCUCAUGCAUGCAGGGUUGGCGGGUGAACAUGGAGGAUGCGCACACCACCAUUCUUUCCCUCCCGGAUGACCCUGGCACAGCCUUCUUUGCUGUAUAUGAUGGACAUGGAGGUGCACGCAUCGCCCAGCAUGCUGGCAAGCACCUCCACAAAAGCAUCGUCAACAGGCCUGAGUACUCUUCAGGCCAGAUAGAGGCAGCCGUCAAGCAGGGCUUUCUAGACCUGGACAAUGCCAUGCAGACAGAUGAGGUGCUGAAGGAUGAGCUUGCUGGUACCACUGCUAUCUGCUGCCUUUUGAGGAACAGAACUGUCUACUGUGGCAAUGUGGGAGACUCCCGUGCCAUUGCAAGUGUUUGUGGGCGUGUGGAAGAACUCAGCAGUGACCACAAGCCCAGUCUCGCCUCAGAGCAGCGCAGGAUCACGGCGGCAGGCGGCUGGGUUGAGCUGAACAGGGUUAAUGGCAACCUUGCCCUCUCGAGAGCUCUGGGAGACUUUGUGUUCAAGAAGAAUGAGCUUAAAGGGCCAGAAGAACAGAUUGUUACAGCCUGCCCAGACGUAACAAUGCGUGAGUUGACUGAUGAUUGGGAGUUCAUCGUGAUUGCAUGUGACGGCAUCUGGGAUGUCAUGACCAAUCAGGAGGUGGUGAACUUUGUGCGGCUGCGACUCUCUCAAGGAAUGGAGCCAGAGGAUGUGUGUGAGGACCUUAUGACAAGGUGCUUGGCGCCGGACUGCCAAAUGGGUGGGCUCGGCUGCGACAAUAUGACAGUGAUCCUAAUCUGCAUACUUCAGACGGGAUCAUGGAAAGAGUUGCAAGAGAAGUGUGGGCGGCCCUCACUGGCUCUCACCAGUCAGACCAAUGAGGAUGACAGUGACCUGGAUCUCCAGUGAAGACCCAAGACCUGUACCCACCUCAGGGAUCUCAACAUCCAGGCCUACAGGGUUGGCAGGUUCAACUUCUCCAGUCUUUCCUCAAAGUUAAAUCUCUUAAGCUGGGAGCCCAGCGUGUAGCAGCCCUUUGUACUCUUUCUGUCUUAUAUGUUUUAAUAAAUGGGGAUUCCAAACUGCUGCUGCAUAUUCUAGAGUUGGUCUUAUAUAUGAUAUGAUUGUCUUCCUCACCAUAUCCUCAUUUAUAUACGUGAAGGCCAGUCUCAUGUUUGCUAAUAAUAUAUUCAUAACCCUUAUUUUUCAUUUAUAUGAUCUGCUGGUGUCAUCUUGUUAAUUAUAACUCCCAAAUCUUUUCUUAUUAUUAUUAUAUUAUAUUAUUCAUAUUAUAUUAAUAUAUAAUAUAAUAAUAUUUACAGUCACCUCUUGAUUAACACGAGGGUUACGUUCCUGGAGAUGUCGUGUUAUUUAAAAUCGCGUUAUUUAAACAUAAUUUCCCCCUAAGAAACAAUAGGGAAAGUCUGCCUAUUUUGGGGAUUUUGUUACUCUAACCUUAAAAAAACACAUUAUUAAUACAUUAGUAGGUCACGGAAACAACAAAAAAACACGAUCUCAUUUUAUUUACAUUUGUACUUCACUUUCAACACUCGACACUUGUGUUGGCCACCGUCCCUCCUCACCCCGCGCUCCCGUUACCAGCCGCUCCCUUCACCAACCACUCUCCGCCUCACUUGCCUCCUUCCUCUUCCUCUGACUGGUCGUUGUCAUGACUAGUUGUCUGCCGAAUCCUCAUCCCGCUCUCCCUCCUCACCCACUGCCAUUUCCUGCCUCAUACCGGAUAGCAUGGCAGCGAUCAAGUCCAUCUGGCCUGGUUUCACAUCACCAGCGCCGGGCUCAGCCCUGCCCUCCUCCUCUCUCUCACGGCAGCCAUCUUGGGAUACCAUGAUGACUCGGCACACCUCACUGUUCACUGUUUGCUCAUCCCACUCAACUGACACCAAAUGUUACACCACCCCCUGCAUCACACCAACCACUCACAGUGCAGGCUAGCUUCAGACUGGGGAGAAACAGAGUGUCCCAGCGCAGUUCCCACCAGAAGUAGCGUGGGUGCGCGUGACGUCAUCGAGCAUGACGUUAUCGAUUAAAUGCGCAUUAAAUAAAAAAUAUUGCGUUAGUUAAUCGUAUCUCCUUAAAUAUAAACUCGUGUUAAAUCAAAAACGUGUUGUUUAAACUUGUGUUAAUCAAAAGGUGACUGUAUUGUUAUAUUAUAUUAAUAUAUUAAGAAUAUAAUAUGUGCCGACACUGAACCUUGAGGCACUCCACUUGUCACCUCUCCCUAUGCAGAGUAUUUUCUCCUUAACCCAGUAGCUGUGGGUAUCAGGUUUCUGUAAGGUCCCUCUUAGCGAGAAAAAUGAGAAAAAAUCAUCACUCACGCGAACCAUUUCAUAAUAUAUAUCAACGCAUUUGUGAUCAGUUUAUGUAUCAUCUAUUUUAGGGGGUUUAUAUCAUGGCAAAAAUUUGACCCAUUGCUGGUACACUCUGUUUCUUUAUCUUCAGCUUCCUUUCCAGCUGUUCUAUAUCUGCAGUGGUAGACGGUCACUGUUUUUCCCCUAAACCUAUCAACAGUGGUGUUCCACAGGGCUGUCCUAUCACCCACUCUCUUCCUGUUGUUCAUCAAUGAUCUUCUUUCCAUAACAAACUGUCCUAUCCACUCAUAUGCUGAUGACUCCACUCUGCAUUAUUCAACUUCUUUCAACAGAAGACUCUCUGAAAAGGUAUUACAUGACUCAAGACUGGAGGUUGCAGAGCGCUUAACCUCAGACCUUGCUAUUAUUUCCGAUUGGGGUAGAAGAAACCUUGUGUCCUUUAAUGCCUCAAAAACUCAAUUUCUCCACCUAUCAACUUGACAUAAUCUCCAAACACCUAUCCCCUAUUCUUCAAUAACACUCAGCUGUCACCUUCUUCAACACUAAAUAUCCUUGGUCUAUCCUUAGCUCAAAAUCUCAACUGGAAACUUAACAUCUCCUCUCACUAAAUCAGUUUCCUCGAGGUUGGGCGUUUUGUAUCGUCUCCGCCAGUUCUUUUCCCCUGCACAGUUGCUAUCCAUUUACAGGGGCCUUGUCUGCCCUCGUAUGGAUUAUCCAUCUUGUGUGGGGGGCUCCACUCACACAACUCUCCUGGACAGAGUGGAGUCUAAGGCUCUUCAUCUCAUCAGCUCUUCUCUUCUUACUAAUAGUCUUCUACCUCUUAAAUUGUGCCGCCAUGUUGCCUCUCUCUAUCUUCUAUCGAUAUUUUCACGCUGACUGCUCUUCUGUGUUUGCUUACUGCAUGCCUCCACCCCUCCUGCAGCCCCACUGCACACGACUUUCUACUCUUGCUCAUCCCUAUAUUAUUCAAACCCCUUAUGCAAGAAUUAACCAGCAUCUUCACUCCUUAAUCCCUUACACUGGUAAACUCUGGAACAGCCUUCCUUUGUAUGUAUUUCCUCCUGCUUAUGACUUGCCCUCUUUCAAGAAGAGUGUUUCAAGACACCUCUCCACCCGAAAUUGACCUCUCUUUUGGCCACUCUACUGUUUUCUGUUGUUGGGAGCGGCAAGUAGUGUUGCCCUUUUGUUGUAAAAAAAAAAAAAAAAAAAAAAAGAGCCACAAAUUUGGCCCAUCGCUGCUACCGGGUUAACAUUGUUCUCAUUUCUCUGUUUUUAAGACAAUCUUGAAUCCACCUGAAUAGCUUUCCUUGAACUCCUCCUUUGUACUUUAGUUUCCACGGAAGCCUUUGACGUGGCACUUUGUCAAAAGCUUUCUUAAAAUCCAUAUAAAUACUGCUCACCCAUCCACCUCUCUCCUGUAUUACUUCUGCUACCCUGUCAUAAAAAAUCAGAGAUUUGAAACACACAAUUUUCCUUUUCUGAACCCACAUUGGCUCUCUGUAAGUAUACUGUGGUUUUCAAGAUGCACUGUGAGAAGCUUCCUUACCAGCUUCUCUAGAAUUUUACAUACAACACUUGUUUAUGAUACUGGCCUAUAAUUUAACAGGUUUUGUUUAUUAUUCUUUUUGAAAAGGGGAAAAAAUGUUGGCUUUUUUCCAUAUGGUUGGUAGCUUUCCUUGCCUGAAUGAUUCCAGAAAUAUGUAAUUCAGUGGUGUACAUAACCCGUCCGCUGCUAUUGGAAUGAAUUUGGCUUUCACUGGUAGCCUGGUAUCAUAUACUCCCAGGUCUUUCUCUGCCUCUGUGGUGGAUAGUGAAGUGUUUCCCAUGUGGUAUUGGUGUGCUGGAUAUCCCCUCCCAAGGUGCAAGACUACAUUUUUCUUCAUUGAAUUGUAGCAACCACUUUUUGAUCCAUUCCUGUAGCUUGGUGAGGUCUUCUUGUAGGAAAUCUGCAGUCAACAGGUUAAUUCAUCUGCACAAUCAUUUAAUACCCAAGAUGAAAUAUCAUCAGGUCCACUUGCUUUUUUCUUGUCCAGUUUACUCAACUUCUCCUUGACUUCUUGUCUUGUUAUGUUUAUAUCUGAUAAUUUGUGAGGGACUGACUGUUCUCCAGCAUCUGCUUCAAAAAUAUUUUCUUCAGUGAAAACUGACUGGAAGCUGUUAUUUAACACUCCACAUCUAUCCUGUUCUUCAUCAUAUAAUUUCCCUUCACACAAAAUUGUUUGUAUCUUGUCUUUUACUUUAGUUUUACUUCUUAUAUAGUUGUAGAACAACUUUGGUUGGUUAGUACUUUCAUCUCCAAUGUCUCUUUCAAACUGUAUUUGAGAUUCCCUUCUUAUAAUCAUUUCUUCCCCAUUUAUAAUUUUCAUAAGCUCUCACUUCCAUGCCUUCUGUAUCUGUUCCACAAUAAAUCCCCCUCAUUUUUAGCUUUUUGACAUUCCUUGUUAAACCACUUUUUUAUUCUGUCAGUCUCAGUCUUAGAGUGAGGAAUAAACAUAUUUACUUCUAUUUUGUAAAACACAAAAUUUUUCAUACUGCUCGUUGAUGUUCCAAUCCUUUAAUUCUUUCUUCCAAUCUAUUUCCAGGAAAUACCUAUUUAAUUCUUCAUUGUUUCCCAUUUUGUCAUUUCAUUGCUUUUUGUAAUCUACAUUUUCAUUUUCUACAUCAUAUGCUACCACAAAGUUAAACUCCAGGGCCUAUACUUAUAAAGCUAUCACUUCGUCUGUGGCUCGUCUUAAGAGCCCAAACCGGCCCUGUGGAGUCCUAUAUCCUGGGUGUUAAUCUGAGACUCAGCACAGGUAGCUAAAUUUGUUCCCGGGCAGACAUAAGCCCUGGGUCUUCGGCUGAGGCAUUGACCUUCAAAUGUAAACAUUGCCAGGUGAUGUCAGACAGCCAGCGUGCCUCAUCAAAACCGUUUUACAUUCAAAUGCUCACUAUAGCCUUAUGAAACCCUAUUAUAAUGGAUAUGAUGUACUUUUAUUCAAUACUUUCAUCAUUUUAAGGUAUUUUUACCCAUUAAUUUUCAAAUGAGAUAGCUGAUCUUUCGAGCUAACUCACUUGGCAACUUUAUGUUCCCCACUACCUGUGGUGGCUGGAACCCCAGCUAGGUUGAAAACUCGUCACUUCGGAGAGACUUAAGUCAAACGCCUCAUUUCUUUAUAAGUAUGGGCUCAGGACCAUGUGAUCACUCUUGCCAAGCAGAGGGCUAUAUAUAAAGUUGUCAACUUAAUUUUCUUGUCAAGUAAAUAUAAGGCCUAGUAAAGAAGGUUCAUCCAAGCUUCUCUUUCAUGUGUUGUAUCUUACAUGUUGAGUCAUUAAGAAGUCCUGAGCUAAAUUCAGCAAUUCUUGGUCCCAAAAGUUUUUCAUUCUCUGAACAAUGUCCCAAUUAAUAUUUGCAUUAAAGUCUUCUGUUAGUUUAAUCCGCUCUGACUUAUAUUCCACCUGCUGUAGCAGAGUUCUUAAACACUGAAUUGUAUUAUCUACCAAGUCUUUGUAUUUUUUUGUGCCCCAUGUGUUUGUUUUGGGAGGCAUUUACAGAGUUGCUAUAAUUACAUAUCCCACUAAAGUUGAUAUUCGUUCCACUUGAGAGCAUCGACUCAACUUCAUAUCUAACUUUUAGUUUUUUCUUUGUUGAAAUCAUAAUGGCACCUCCAUUCUUCAGUUUCCUGUCUCUUCUCCAGAUGUUGUAAUCCUUGGUGUUGAGGGCAUCAUUUGUAAUAACUGAGCUUUGUUUAGUUUCUGUCAGGCAGAUUACUUGUGGCUGCUUGUAUUACAUCUUUAAACUAAUAAUUUAGAAAUGAUCCCAUCUACAUUUGAAUAUGCCAUUCUCAAAACUUUAUUUAAGGGGAGGCACUGCCAAAAAUGGGUAUUUUUCACUAUUUCAGCCAAAUUUUAAAAGUCACUCCAAAAAAUAGCUGAACAUGUCACAUGUUCCCUGUGGAAGUUUGGCAGCUGUAUGAUAAUUCUUUCCCUUUCAAAUAAUUUGAUUUGUAUUACUAAUUUCGUGGUCCCCUCCCUGCAGAAACCUCCGUUUUCUGUAGAAUACUCAUAUAUGUUACAUUUUGCCUUCUUUUGUCCAAUUUUUCCACUUCAUUUUACAAAAAGUGUGUCAUCAUUCAUCUGGCAAAAUUCUAGUGGCAGCCAGCAAGCCUCGGAGAGUGUGGUUGAGUGGAUCAGUCAAUCAGUUAGUGCAUUGCAAGCACUCCUCAGAGGUACAUUUGUACUUGUACUUUGGCAGGUUUGGACACCUAGGGAAAGAAAAGAAAGUGACGAAGAAGAAGUAACAGGAGGUAUCCACAGAACACUACAGCCCAGGAGAUUUCUACUGUGUGCACACACACACACACACACGCAUACAUACAUACAUACAGGUGCCAAUUAUGAUUAUUAUUUUUUAUAUCAUUCAUUGUCAUUCAUAAAUAUAACUGCAUAGGUAUCUAAGUUGUAUUUUACCGCUGUAAGAUCCUCUAAAAAUCAUAACUUUGUACGCUGAUUGCAUUUACACACAAAAUAGCCGAUAUUUCUAAAGUCCAUUUAUUUUACUUUGGAGAAUAAUAAUUCCAUUAGUUGUGAAGAAAAAAAAAAAAAAAAAACUCAAACAUCCCCUGAAAGACGAGUGGAUAAAAAAAUUGUCCGUCAGUUUUUUUAUAAACAAAAAUACACUGCUGAUAUUAUUUAUUGAAUGUAAAAAAAGUGGUAGAGUUAUGGGAAACAUCAAAUGAUGAUUUUGGUAAUUUUUUUGCUCAGGAACAGUGAGACAUUAAAAAUUUGAACGGACAAUUUUUAACUAGUGGCGCCAUGAGUAAAACUACCCAAUAUCAUACAUAUUGAGUGAACAUUCUGGCCCCCAUUAAUGUUUUUAGCUCUGCUUUUAUUACAAAUAAUAAAUUUUGUUCAUAAUUUUUUUUCGUACAGAAGCACGAAAGCUAUUAUGCUGAUACAUGCAGAUCUUAUUGCAUUUACUUAAGUCUUCAAAGAAAAAAAUACCUUAAAACAAUUGAAAUAAAAUGAAUGUACCCUCCACUAAUACUGGGCGGCGCCUCCCCUUAAAUAUUUAACCUUGGCUUCCUUAUUGCUUUUGAUACUUCUUGUUACCAUUUCUUUACUUGAAGACCUACCACUUUGCUGACUGCUCUUCUGAACUUGCUAACUGCAUGCCUCCACUCCUCCUACAUGCCCACUGCAUUCAACUUCCUACUCUAGGUCUACUGUCCAAAUCCCUUAUGCAAGAGUUAAACGGCAUCUUCACUCUUUCAUCCUUUUUGCUUGUAAACUCUGGAACAACCUUCCUUUGUCUGUGUUUCCUCCUUCCUACAACUUGACCUCUUUCAAGAGAGGAGUAUCAAGACACCUCUCCAUCUGAAACUAACCUCUCUUUUGGCUACUCUUAUCAACUUCCUUUUGUAGGAUCUGUGCUAUAGCAGGAUUUUUUAUUUAUUUAUUUUUUUUGCUCCUGAGUUGCUUCCUUUACUGUAAAAAAAGGAAAAAUGGAAAAUUGAAAUAAAUAUUCUACAAUAAUUAC